GUUCAUAUUCAUCAGAAAACAGUCUCAGCUGGAGAGAAUGAGGGAGCCGCAUUGUUCCCUCCCUUACUGCUUGCACAGAAAGAUAUAAGCUGUGGGGGGGAAGCUACCUGAGGUUAUUAAGAUUAAUACAGCUAGAGAUUCCAAUCAACUUGCACAAGGCUGCUCCUCAAGGCUGUCAGAUGCCUACUGCCUUCUUUUAUUCAGACGGGCCACAUCAAUUUGGAAUUUCCCAACAGAGACUGCUAUGAUUUAUGGGUUUAGGAGGCUGAUAGAUGUGGUUAGCUGAAGUGUUCAUGAGAUAAUUGAAUCAGAAUAAUUUCAGUCAGCUGUGUUCAAUUUAUUUUCUCCGAUAACCACAGGAGGGUGCAAUUUUGGAUUGGGAGCUUCAUCUCAAGGAUUCCUAUCACAGGAAAGACAUUGUGGAACUUGGAAUAAGAGCAACUUAAUUUUGCUGCCAGGCACAUAUGACAGCCUUACAAGCUGCCUAAGAUUCAUCAAAACUGGAGACUGCAGAUUUAUAUCCUUCAGCAGUCCCCGUUAUCCAGCCCUGCAUGGGACGUAG
This 562-nucleotide long non-coding RNA is filed under the name Struthio camelus australis. Its description in RNAcentral is "lncRNA (ENSSCUG00000003648.1)". The record is from RNAcentral. Lineage: Eukaryota; Metazoa; Chordata; Aves; Struthioniformes; Struthionidae.